AUUUUUUUGAGGAAGAUCAGCCCUGAGCUAACAUCUGCUGCCAAUCUUCCUCUUUUUGCUGAGGAAGACUGGCCCUGAGCUAACAUCCAUGCCCACCUUCCUCUACUUUAUAUGUGGGAGGCCUGCCACAGCGUGGCUUGAUAAACGUGAGUAGGUCCACACCCGGGAUCCGAACUGGUGAACCCUGGGCUGCUGAUGCAGAACAUGCAAACUUAACCACUGUGCCACCAGGCCAGCCCCAUGGUAUUAACAGCGCAUGUGAUCCUUUAAAAUAAAGAAGCUGGAGUUUGAAGAGGUGGAAUCACUUGUCCAGGGUUACUCAGCCAGACAAGGACCAGAACCAGUGCUUGGGUGUUUCACCUCCAAGUCCAGCCACCUUUCCACUACAUCACGAGGUGCCUCGGACAGAGCACCCGGUUAGGAGGUCCUCCCAGCAGGGAGGUCGUAGGGCGGUGGCUUUGGGUAUAGGAGGAGAUGUCGUGAGCUAAGAUGAGGGUGCCUGUCUCAGGGGCGCAGCUCUAAAAGCAUCGUGGCAGGCGCGCCAGCGAGUUAGCCAUGAGGUCAGGAGCAGCACGAUGUCAGUCCUGGCAGACGUGUGGAGCAUGGAGCCACACGGAGACUUGAGUUCAAAGCGAAGUCUCAGCAGAUGUGGGUAGAGCAGAGAGUCAGCCUGGCCUGGCGGCCACCGUAACAGGAUUCUGGUCCUGGAAGCCUCACUUUGGGACUUUGGGUCAGUCAUUUAAACUCUUUGAGCCUCA
Molecule: long non-coding RNA, 758 nt
Filed under: Equus caballus (horse)
Lineage: Eukaryota; Metazoa; Chordata; Mammalia; Perissodactyla; Equidae
Description: lncRNA (ENSECAG00000057186.1)
Source: RNAcentral